AAUCUGCUUCAGAUUCAGAACUACCAUCAGGCCUGCAGACAGAGUCAGUUUUAAAUGGCGGUCAAAUAGCUGGAAUCGUAGUUGGUUGUGUUUGCUUUGCUGUAUUAAUUAUAGCAGUAGCAAUUUGGUUUUGUACAUUAAGAAUAAAGUCGAGGAGAGGAUGACAGCAUCAAUGCUCAAGACGGAGAAGAGAAGCAUAUAAUUACCUGAAUCAUAUAUAAAUUUUCAAUUGACUAAAUAUAUAAACAAGUCGAUGUAAUAUGUUGCACAUGGUACAUGUACAUCUUUAAGAGAUUAUCGGAACUGUAUUGUUUUUGCUUCGUUUUGCAUUGACAAAUGUUUUUGG
Molecule: long non-coding RNA, 346 nt
Organism: Mytilus californianus (California mussel)
Lineage: Eukaryota; Metazoa; Mollusca; Bivalvia; Mytilida; Mytilidae
Exons: 2
Source: RefSeq, a predicted model, not a curated record